UCAUUCGAUUUGUUGUGGAUUGGAUGAUGGAAAAACUAGCAAGCAGAAAGCGUAGUUAGAAAAGUUGCCGUAGCGCGCCCUACGGAGUUGUACAAAGUCAGCAACCGUUUUGGGGCACAAGCAUAGGCAACACAGGACUGAUGACGGGGUGGGGUGCGCAGUGAACUGGUUUUCUAAAAAGAUUGGAAGAUCCAGCCAAAGAAGGUGAUAGCCCUGUUUAUUCGUUCCCAU
This 231-nucleotide ribosomal RNA is filed under the name Triticum aestivum (bread wheat). Its description in RNAcentral is "partial small subunit ribosomal RNA". Lineage: Eukaryota; Viridiplantae; Streptophyta; Magnoliopsida; Poales; Poaceae. The record is from RNAcentral.